CCCUCCUCCCUCCCCCCCACCAGGCCGUCCUUGGCCGAGUGGUGCUGCCGCUGGUGCCGCCGCCGGACCUCCUUAGCCGCUGCAGCCCACGCCCGCGAUGACCCUGCUGUCAGCCUCAGGGGACACUGCGGCCUCUGCCACGAGCCCGGGAGCCCGACGCCCAAAGGUCACUGGACCUGUGGGGCAGCUCUGGGACCCUGCUGUGCCGGCCACCAGGCCAGGUGCUGGAGAACCAUUCCGGAGGACAGUCAAGGCCCCUGUGUCCAAAGCUUAAAUCAGAAGAGACGGACUGAUUCAGAAGGAGCUUCCAGACAGAGAAAAGCAUCUGUAGAGAGAUCGCAAGCAAACUGAUGAGCAGGAAAACGUGAGACGAUGACGCAGGAGAGGAAGAAUGAGGGUCCCGCUAUCUCUCUUGGUUCUGUGGUGAGACCCUCCCCUUGCGGUGAAGGAGGGAUUAACACGGCGAGAACCUACGGACUUUUAAUAAGUGGAUUUUCCAGAAGCCACGUGACGCGUGACGAGCUCUUUGCUCAGAUGCGGUGGAAUGCAGCUCGCUGUUCUUAUGUUCUGCAGAACGUUCUAGGUUGACUCAUUGGCUUAACGAUGGGAGAUUUGGAGGGUCCGCUUUCUCGAGCCACAGCUGCACCGAUUUCGAACAAAGAGCCGCGAAACGUGAGCGGCUGUAGCGCGGCGUCGCUCACUCACAAAGGGAGACGUCUGAUGGGGGAGAACCUGGUCGGAACUGCAGGCUGCACUUUUGGGCGCCCGUGAACAAACAGCUGCCCAGAUGCUUGAGACGGUGUCUCUUCUAGAGAUGCAAGUGCGAAGCCUCUGAGGCCGCACGUGGAGGGUCUCUGCCGAAAACCCGACGCGUGCGUGUGGGGAGAGCCCCCAGCCCGACCCGCUAGCUCUGAACGGCCUGCUGCUGUUUGAGAGGGCUGCGGGCUUGUUGGCCAGCCUUGCCCCUUAAACGGAAAACCUGCGAAAGGCAGAUGCUAAGAACGUGCUGGAAGUUGACAGUGUGUGCAAAGUCCCUGGUCCUGCCCCUGCAGAGACUGCACAGUCGGGGGCGCCUUCUUCCGGGAGUAACCUGUGCCCGCGCAAAGUCACACCACGCGGUUACUUGGUCUUUCGUUGCUGUCAGUUUUCAUGUGUGGCGAGACACCCGCACGACCACAUUGACGCGUAGUCCUAAGUGUAUCCGAAAGGUGUGCCCCGAACAACGGCAUGUUCCGUCUUGCAAAAUCGGACUCCUGUCCCCGAUCAACAACAGACAGGGCCUCGUCCCCGCCUCCGCGCUGCUCUCUGUCUCCGUGAAGCUGACGACCCGAGAGAGACUCAGGCGAGCGGAGUCAGACAGCGUUGUCUCUGCAUCACUGGCUUAUCUCUCUGCGCAUCCUGCCUCCGAGGCCCAGCCCCGCUGCAGCCUGUGCGAGAGGCCCUUCCUCUUCGAGGCGGGGCCGGGCUCCGCUGUGUGCGUGGACCACGCCGUGUUUACCAUCGUCCCCGGGGUGAAGCGGGCUGGCAGGCCAGGCUUGCUCACGGGACUAUUGCACGUCUGUGGGAAGAGAUGUGAGUUCAAGUGAAGGAAUGUGCGUGGGCACACUCGUGCGCCGAGAGCGGUGAUUAUGCUAACGAGCGUCCCGAGGAUGCGGCCCCACGGCUGCCGUCCUUCUGACUCAGGCUGAGCGGCCGCCUUCCGAGGUGCUGUCAGCUUUGCACGUGCUGUCCUUCAGCCCCAUUAUCUUCCCGUCUUGUUCGAGUGCAGUUGUUUUCCUGAGGCCUCAGGGUGGGAUUGAUUUACUGAGCCUGGUAAAUCCCAUCUGCUAGCUUCAGACUGUCAUUCUCACCUGCCGAGGUCAUUGUGGUUGUUGACUCUGUCAUCUGCCCUUCUGCCCUGCUCUCCUGGGUUUAUGUCCUCUUCAUAUUUGAUAUCUCUGUCCCUCCGUCCAUCCAUCCGUCUGUCCACCCAUCCGUCCAUCUGUCCGUCCGUCCAUCCGUCCCUCUGUCUGUCCAGCGACUUUCUAUAGUGUACCCUACUGUGUGCAGCCUCUGUGCUAAGCUCUGGGUACAGGGGUGAGCAGAACAGAAAGGAAUCUGGGUUCUCCUGGAGCUUUCACUGGGGUAGAGAAGACAGACACUAAACCAAGACGCACGGGUUACGGGGACGGCAUGGUACUGACAGGUGCCACAGAGAAAAGGGAAGCGGGGACGACGGAUGGGGUGGGGGCAGCCAGAGGAAACCGUGCGGAAGGGUGGUGUCCGCGCGGAGACUGGAGGGUGUUUCUAUCCAGUUCUUUGGAAAACACGGUGAAGAGGAACUCAGCCUCUCUGUAGGUUGACGUUGAUGCAGUAACUGGCACCUUUGGGGUUCACCUGACUUUCCACUGAAACUCUAUACCUUCAGUGUCUAACCUGCAUUUCUCCACACUCUUCUGUUUUUUUUUUUU
Molecule: non-coding RNA, 2450 nt
Organism: Sus scrofa (pig)
Lineage: Eukaryota; Metazoa; Chordata; Mammalia; Artiodactyla; Suidae
Source: RefSeq, a predicted model, not a curated record